AGAGUUUGAUCCUGGCUCAGGAUGAACGCUAGCGAUAGGCCUAACACAUGCAAGUCGAGGGGCAGCAUAGAGUAGCAAUACUUUGAUGGCGACCGGCGCACGGGUGAGUAACACGUAUGCAACCUACCUACAUCAGGGGAAUAACCCGGAGAAAUUCGGACUAAUACCGCAUAAUACAGGGAUGCCGCAUGGCAAUAUUUGUUAAAGAUUUAUCGGAUGUAGAUGGGCAUGCGUUCCAUUAGCUUGUUGGUGAGGUAACGGCUCACCAAGGCAACGAUGGAUAGGGGAACUGAGAGGUUUGUCCCCCACACUGGAACUGAGACACGGACCAGACUCCUACGGGAGGCAGCAGUGAGGAAUAUUGGUCAAUGGACGAGAGUCUGAACCAGCCAAAUCGCGUGAAGGAAGACUGCCCUACGGGUUGUAAACUUCUUUUGUACAGGAAUAAAAGACAUUACGUGUAAUGUAUUGCAUGUACUGUACGAAUAAGCAUCGGCUAAUUCCGUGCCAGCAGCCGCGGUAAUACGGAGGAUGCGAGCGUUAUCCGGAUUUAUUGGGUUUAAAGGGUGCGCAGGCGGGAUUUUAAGUCAGCGGUGAAAUUUUCAGGCUCAACCUGAACACUGCCGUUGAAACUGGGAUUCUUGAGUAUGGAUGAAGUAGGCGGAAUUCGUUGUGUAGCGGUGACAUGCUUAGAUAUAACGAGGAACUCCGAUUGCGUAGGCAGCUUACUAAGCCAUAACUGACGCUCAAGCACGAAAGCGUGGGGAUCAAACAGGAUUAGAUACCCUGGUAGUCG
This 796-nucleotide ribosomal RNA is filed under the name uncultured bacterium. RNAcentral's name for it is "bacterial SSU rRNA". It matches the Rfam family "Bacterial small subunit ribosomal RNA", at positions 8 to 796 of the family's 1533-position model. The record is from RNAcentral.